UUUUGGACUGAAAGUUUUGUUCAGUGGUCUCCAUGGGAACCUACUUAGCCACCGUCCACCAGCAGGGUGCUGCUGUGUGGGGUGGUGCCACCACUUUUAACCGCCUAAGGGGCUAUGCUCAUCCACAGGUUAAACUCAUCGAGUUCUCUCCAGGUGAGAAAUAUUUGGUCACAUAUAGUAGCAGCAGCCAUGACGAUAUGCAUAGGGUAAACAUAUUCGAUGUGAGAACUGAAAAAGUAUGAGAGAUUUUGAGGGAAGUGGCAAUGAUUUUGCAGAUGGAGGGGUUUCUGGCCGGUUUUCAG
Molecule: non-coding RNA, 302 nt
Organism: Lactuca sativa (garden lettuce)
Lineage: Eukaryota; Viridiplantae; Streptophyta; Magnoliopsida; Asterales; Asteraceae
Source: RefSeq, a predicted model, not a curated record